RNAcentral lists this ribosomal RNA (492 nucleotides) under uncultured bacterium. Its description in RNAcentral is "partial 16S ribosomal RNA". It matches the Rfam family "Bacterial small subunit ribosomal RNA", at positions 29 to 507 of the family's 1533-position model. The record is from RNAcentral.
AGUGAACGCUGGCGGUAGGCCUAACACAUGCAAGUCGAACGGCAGCACAGUAAGAGCUUGCUCUUACGGGUGGCGAGUGGCGGACGGGUGAGGAAUACAUCGGAAUCUACUUUUUCGUGGGGGAUAACGUAGGGAAACUUACGCUAAUACCGCAUACGACCUACGGGUGAAAGCAGGGGAUCUUCGGACCUUGCGCGAUUGAAUGAGCCGAUGUCGGAUUAGCUAGUUGGCGGGGGAAAGGCCCACCAAGGCGACGAUCCGUAGCUGGUCUGAGAGGAUGAUCAGCCACACUGGAACUGAGACACGGUCCAGACUCCUACGGGAGGCAGCGGUGGGGAAUAUUGGACAAUGGGCGCAAGCCUGAUCCAGCCAUACCGCGUGAGUGAAGAAGGCCUUCGGGUUGUAAAGCCAUUUUGUUGGGAAAGAAAAGAAGCAGGUUAAUACCCCGCUGUUCUGACGGUACCCAAAGAAUAAGCACCGGCUAACUUCGUG